ACCCCACCCCACCUCCAGCUUGGGCUCUCCCAGGCUUAAGAGCCUGCCGGAGAAAAGGCACCUAAAUCUAAUGCUACACAGAGAAGCGGAGCCUCCAUCUUGCGCUGCUCCGCGUUCUCCAUUUUGGGCCACCCAUGGGGGGGGGGUCUCCGUAGAGGCCCCGAGGGAGAGUUGGGCGAGGGAAGGAAGAGAAAAUCUUCAGCGAGGGUAGUCGAAAAGAAGAGUCGUGCAGUAGAAAGCCACUCUAGGAGUAGGAGGUAGGGAGGAAGGGGGGCUGGAAGUUCCUUGGUAGUGUUGAGGUAGCCACUUGGGGGGAGAAGGCAGAAACAAGGGGUGGGGGUUACGCGGGGACGGGGAGGCUUCUCCCCGUCUUGACUUAGCCACCCGCUCCACGGCUGGCCCCUUUGGGGGCAAAGGGAGUAGGGGGGGAAUUAAACGGCAACAGAGUGCCCAUUCUCUUUCCCUCCCAACUCCUCUCUCGCGCCCUAUUUCAACCAUACACACCUCACAGUGGGCCCCGCGCCCUCCGGGUGCCCCUCCAAACUUCUAGAAGCUUCGCCUCCGCCAUUUUAUAACUUACCUCCCCCCUCAGCGUACACAGAGGCAGCAACGAGACUGUUCGCCUCCCCCACUCCUCCUUCCUUCUUUCUCAGGCCGGGGGCUUCUUCACCCCUGGGCUGGUACAAGAUAUUUUCCCCUUCCUCUUCUUUACACCCUCGAAUUCUACUCAGGGACGGAAGCUCCCGCGGUUCUAGAGCGGUGGGGGGUUUUGAAAGUGGCGGUCGGAUCCGGCGGGUUUUUUUUUUUUUCUUUUUUUUUUUUCUUUUUUUUUUUUUUUUUUUUUUUUUUUUGGUGGCGCUUCGGGAUUGUUUGGGGUGUUCGCUCUUCGGCGACUUGGAGGCGAAUGGAACGCGCAGGCGCCAUCUGUCGGCCACGAACCCGCGCCCGGCUCCCGUUGGGAGGGAGCGGCAUCUAGCGGCACAGCGCUGGCACUGCAGCGCUCGUCUCCCAGCGUCCUCCUCCCGGUCGCCGACCAAUCGCGGCCGACUGCCUCCCGGGUUCAGCGUCUCCGACGCCGCCUGCGAACGAGGCGCCCGCAGGGGCGCGCCGCCGAGUGGGGUAAACAAGGAACAGGAAUAAAUGUAUUUAGUAACAAGACAAAUUUUCCAAAUGAGGAGAAACGAAAGCCCUGUGUAAAUCGUGAAGAUUUCACCUGAUAUCACCUCGAAAGUAUUCCCAACGCAAUACAAUGAUUAAUCUCAGUCCUCAAAUUAUAUUCCUUCCACGCCUGCUUUAAGUUUCUCUCAUUCUCUGUGCUUACUGGGUUUUUUCCCUGCAACUUUAAAAAAGAGUUACGGCAUAUUUAAUCAACGGAACAAUAAAAGUUAAACAGAAACAUCUAAAUAUCA
RNAcentral lists this long non-coding RNA (1409 nucleotides) under Canis lupus dingo (dingo). RNAcentral's name for it is "lncRNA (ENSCAFG00020002205.1)". The record is from RNAcentral. Lineage: Eukaryota; Metazoa; Chordata; Mammalia; Carnivora; Canidae.